CCUACAUGAAGCUGGAGUUACUAGUAAUCGCAGAUCAGAAUGCUGCGGUGAAUGCGUUCCCGGGUCUUGUACACACCGCCCGUCACACCACGGGAGUUGGAGACGCGCGAAGCCGAUUAUCUAACCUGUUGGAAGAAGUCGUCGAAGGUGGAAUCAAUAAACCGCCCGUCACACCAAGGGCGUUGGGGACGCCCGAAGACGAUUAUCUAACCUAUUGGAAGAAGUCGUCGA
This 231-nucleotide ribosomal RNA is filed under the name Clostridioides difficile. RNAcentral's name for it is "partial 16S ribosomal RNA". It matches the Rfam family "Bacterial small subunit ribosomal RNA", at positions 1315 to 1533 of the family's 1533-position model. Lineage: Bacteria; Bacillati; Bacillota; Clostridia; Peptostreptococcales; Peptostreptococcaceae. The record is from RNAcentral.